This 450-nucleotide ribosomal RNA is filed under the name uncultured bacterium. RNAcentral's name for it is "partial 16S ribosomal RNA". It matches the Rfam family "Bacterial small subunit ribosomal RNA", at positions 354 to 796 of the family's 1533-position model. The record is from RNAcentral.
GUGGGGAAUUUUGGACAAUGGGCGAAAGCCUGAUCCAGCAAUGCCGCGUGCAGGAUGAAGGCCCUCGGGUUGUAAACUGCUUUUGUACGGAACGAAAAGCCUGGGGCUAAUAUCCCCGGGUCAUGACGGUACCGUAAGAAUAAGCACCGGCUAACUACGUGCCAGCAGCCGCGGUAAUACGUAGGGUGCAAGCGUUAAUCGGAAUUACUGGGCGUAAAGCGUGCGCAGGCGGUUUUGUAAGACAGAGGUGAAAUCCCCGGGCUCAACCUGGGAACUGCCUUUGUGACUGCAAGGCUAGAGUACGGCAGAGGGGGAUGGAAUUCCGCGUGUAGCAGUGAAAUGCGUAGAUAUGCGGAGGAACACCGAUGGCGAAGGCAAUCCCCUGGGCCUGUACUGACGCUCAUGCACGAAAGCGUGGGGAGCAAACAGGAUUAGAAACCCCGGUAGUCC